CACGAACGCUGGCGGCGUGCCUAAUACAUGCAAGUAGAACGCAGAGGUCAGGUGCUUGCACUGGACUGAUGAGUUGCGAACGGGUGAGUAACGCGUAGGUAACCUACCUGAUAGCGGGGGAUAACUAUUGGAAACGAUAGCUAAUACCGCAUAAAAGUGAAUGACCCAUGUCAUUGACUUGAAAGAAGCAAACGCUUCACUAUGAGAUGGACCUGCGUUGUAUUAGCUAGUUGGUAGGGUAAAGGCCUACCAAGGCGACGAUACAUAGCCGACCUGAGAGGGUGAACGGCCACACUGGGACUGAGACACGGCCCAGACUCCUACGGGAGGCAGCAGUAGGGAAUCUUCGGCAAUGGGGGGAACCCUGACCGAGCAACGCCGCGUGAGUGAAGAAGGUUUUCGGAUCGUAAAGCUCUGUUGUUAGAGAAGAACAGUGAUGGGAGUGGAAAGUCCAUCAUUUGACGGUAACUAACCAGAAAGGGACGGCUAACUACGUGCCAGCAGCCGCGGUAA
This 513-nucleotide ribosomal RNA is filed under the name Streptococcus equi subsp. zooepidemicus. RNAcentral describes it as "bacterial SSU rRNA". It matches the Rfam family "Bacterial small subunit ribosomal RNA", at positions 29 to 523 of the family's 1533-position model. Lineage: Bacteria; Bacillati; Bacillota; Bacilli; Lactobacillales; Streptococcaceae. The record is from RNAcentral.